This 789-nucleotide ribosomal RNA is filed under the name Methanoculleus sp. enrichment culture clone HA_36. Its description in RNAcentral is "bacterial SSU rRNA". It matches the Rfam family "Archaeal small subunit ribosomal RNA", at positions 85 to 879 of the family's 1478-position model. Lineage: Archaea; Methanobacteriati; Methanobacteriota; Methanomicrobia; Methanomicrobiales; Methanomicrobiaceae. The record is from RNAcentral.
ACUGCUCAGUAACACGUGGAUAACCUGCCCUAAGGAAGGGGAUAACCUCGGGAAACUGAGGAUAAUACCCUAUAGGUUACAGACGCUGGAAUGCCCUGUAACCGAAAGUUCCGGCGCCUUAGGAUGGUUCUGCGGCCGAUUAGGUUGUUGUUGGGGUAACGGCCCAACAAGCCGAUAAUCGGUACGGGUUGUGGGAGCAAGAGCCCGGAGUUGGAUUCUGAGACAUGAAUCCAGGCCCUACGGGGCGCAGCAGGCGCGAAAACUUUACAAUGCGGGAAACCGUGAUAAGGGAACCCCGAGUGCCUGUAUAUGCAGGCUGUCCAGGUGUCUAAAAAACACCUGAAGAAAGGGCCGGGCAAGACCGGUGCCAGCCGCCGCGGUAAUACCGGCGGCUCGAGUGGUGGCCACUUUUAUUGGGCUUAAAGCGUUCGUAGCUGGGUUGUUAAGUCUCUUGGGAAAUCUGACGGCUCAACCGUCAGGCGUCCAAGGGAUACUGGCAAUCUUGGAACCGGGAGAGGUGAGGGGUACUUCGGGGGUAGGAGUGAAAUCCUGUAAUCCUCGAGGGACCACCUGUGGCGAAGGCGCCUCACCAGAACGGCUUCGACAGUGAGGGACGAAAGCUGGGGGAGCAAACCGGAUUAGAUACCCGGGUAGUCCCAGCCGUAAACGAUGCGCGUUAGGUGUAUCGGUGACCACGAGUCACCGAGGUGCCGAAGGGAAACCGUGAAACGUGCCGCCUGGGAAGUACGGUCGCAAGGCUGAAACUUAAAGGAAUUGGCGGGGGAGCAC